Small nuclear RNA from Ursus americanus (American black bear), 107 nucleotides. NCBI's taxonomy places the organism in Eukaryota, Metazoa, Chordata, Mammalia, Carnivora, Ursidae. The record is from Ensembl.
GUGCUUGCUUCGGCAACACAUAUACUAAAAUUGGAACAAUACAGAGAAGAUUAACUUGGCCCCUGCAUAAGGAUGACAUGCAAAUUUGUGAAGCGUUCCAUUAAAUG